This 104-nucleotide small nuclear RNA is filed under the name Phocoena sinus (vaquita). RNAcentral also lists the same sequence under 1 other name. The record is from RNAcentral. Lineage: Eukaryota; Metazoa; Chordata; Mammalia; Artiodactyla; Phocoenidae.
GUGCUUGCUUUGGCAGCACAUAUACUAAAAUUGGAACGAUACAGAGAUUAGGAUGGCCCCUGUGCAAGGAUGACACGCCAAUUCGUGAAGCGUUGCAUAUUUUU